This 690-nucleotide ribosomal RNA is filed under the name Salmonella enterica. RNAcentral's name for it is "bacterial SSU rRNA". It matches the Rfam family "Bacterial small subunit ribosomal RNA", at positions 843 to 1533 of the family's 1533-position model. Lineage: Bacteria; Pseudomonadati; Pseudomonadota; Gammaproteobacteria; Enterobacterales; Enterobacteriaceae. RNAcentral also lists the same sequence under 2 other names. The record is from RNAcentral.
CUUCCGGAGCUAACGCGUUAAGUAGACCGCCUGGGGAGUACGGCCGCAAGGUUAAAACUCAAAUGAAUUGACGGGGGCCCGCACAAGCGGUGGAGCAUGUGGUUUAAUUCGAUGCAACGCGAAGAACCUUACCUGGUCUUGACAUCCACAGAACUUUCCAGAGAUGGAUUGGUGCCUUCGGGAACUGUGAGACAGGUGCUGCAUGGCUGUCGUCAGCUCGUGUUGUGAAAUGUUGGGUUAAGUCCCGCAACGAGCGCAACCCUUAUCCUUUGUUGCCAGCGAUUAGGUCGGGAACUCAAAGGAGACUGCCAGUGAUAAACUGGAGGAAGGUGGGGAUGACGUCAAGUCAUCAUGGCCCUUACGACCAGGGCUACACACGUGCUACAAUGGCGCAUACAAAGAGAAGCGACCUCGCGAGAGCAAGCGGACCUCAUAAAGUGCGUCGUAGUCCGGAUUGGAGUCUGCAACUCGACUCCAUGAAGUCGGAAUCGCUAGUAAUCGUGGAUCAGAAUGCCACGGUGAAUACGUUCCCGGGCCUUGUACACACCGCCCGUCACACCAUGGGAGUGGGUUGCAAAAGAAGUAGGUAGCUUAACCUUCGGGAGGGCGCUUACCACUUUGUGAUUCAUGACUGGGGUGAAGUCGUAACAAGGUAACCGUAGGGGAACCUGCGGUUGGAUCACCUCCUUA